This 439-nucleotide ribosomal RNA is filed under the name Bacillus sp. (in: firmicutes). Its description in RNAcentral is "bacterial SSU rRNA". It matches the Rfam family "Bacterial small subunit ribosomal RNA", at positions 95 to 520 of the family's 1533-position model. Lineage: Bacteria; Bacillati; Bacillota; Bacilli; Caryophanales; Bacillaceae. The record is from RNAcentral.
GCGGCGGAGGGGUGAGUAACACGUGGGUAACCUGCCUGUAAGAGUGGGAUAACUCCGGGAAACCGGAGCUAAUACCGGAUAGUUCCUUGAACCGCAUGGUUCAAGGAUGAAAGACGGUUUCGGCUGUCACUUACAGAUGGACCCGCGGCGCAUUAGCUAGUUGGUGGGGUAAUGGCUCACCAAGGCGACGAUGCGUAGCCGACCUGAGAGGGUGAUCGGCCACACUGGGACUGAGACACGGCCCAGACUCCUACGGGAGGCAGCAGUAGGGAAUCUUCCGAAAUGGACGAAAGUCUGACGGAGCAACGCCGCGUGAGUGAUGAAGGUUUUCGGAUCGUAAAGCUCUGUUGUUAGGGAAGAACAAGUGCGAGAGUAACUGCUCGCACCUUGACGGUACCUAACCAGAAAGCCACGGCUAACUACGUGCCAGCAGCCGCGG